Molecule: ribosomal RNA, 537 nt
Filed under: uncultured bacterium
Lineage: Bacteria
Description: bacterial SSU rRNA
Rfam family: Bacterial small subunit ribosomal RNA
Source: RNAcentral
ACGGGUGAGUAACGCGUGGGAACGUACCUAAUGGUUCGGAAUAACGUUUGGAAACGAACGCUAAUACCGGAUAAGCCCUGAGGGGGAAAGAUUUAUCGCCAUAAGAGCGGCCCGCGUUAGAUUAGGUAGUUGGUAGGGUAAAGGCCUACCAAGCCGACGAUCUAUAGCUGGUUUGAGAGGAUGAUCAGCCACACUGGGACUGAGACACGGCCCAGACUCCUACGGGAGGCAGCAGUGGGGAAUAUUGGACAAUGGGGGCAACCCUGAUCCAGCAAUGCCGCGUGAGUGAAGAAGGCCUUCGGGUUGUAAAGCUCUUUUAUCAGGGACGAUAAUGACGGUACCUGAGGAAUAAGCUCCGGCUAACUUCGUGCCAGCAGCCGCGGUAAUACGAAGGGAGCUAGCGUUGUUCGGAAUUACUGGGCGUAAAGGGCGCGUAGGCGGUCAACUAAGUCAGAUGUGAAAGCCUUGGGCUUAACCUGAGAACGGCAUUUGAUACUGGUUAACUAGAGGACGAGAGAGGAAAGUGGAAUUACGAGU